CUCUGGUUGACUAAGUUGUUAAAGCAUCUGCCUCAGAUGUAGGAGGUCGCAGGUUUGAACCCUGGUUUAAUCAAAGA
Potamilus streckersoni is the source of this 77-nucleotide non-coding RNA. The record is from the annotation of a GenBank genome assembly. Lineage: Eukaryota; Metazoa; Mollusca; Bivalvia; Unionida; Unionidae.